This 422-nucleotide ribosomal RNA is filed under the name uncultured bacterium. Its description in RNAcentral is "bacterial SSU rRNA". It matches the Rfam family "Bacterial small subunit ribosomal RNA", at positions 55 to 499 of the family's 1533-position model. The record is from RNAcentral.
AUGCAAGUCGAGCGCCCCGCAAGGGGAGCGGCAGACGGGUGAGUAACGCGUGGGAAUCUACCCAUCCCUACGGAACAACUCCGGGAAACUGGAGCUAAUACCGUAUACGCCCUUAGGGGGAAAGAUUUAUCGGGGAUGGAUGAGCCCGCGUUGGAUUAGCUAGUUGGUAGGGUAAUGGCCUACCAAGGCAACGAUGAGUAGCUGGUCUGAGAGGAUGAUCAGCCACACUGGAACUGAAACACGGUCCAGACUCCUACGGGAGGCAGCAGUGGGGAAUAUUGCGCAAUGGGCGAAAGCCUGACGCAGCAACGCCGUGUGAGGGAUGAAGGCUUUCGGGUCGUAAACCUCUGUCAGAAGGGAAGAACGGGCAUUGGUCUAAUAGGCCUUUGUUUUGACGGUACCUUCAGAGGAAGCACCGGCUA